GCCGGGUUGGUGGAAUUGGCAGACACAGCGCACUCAAAAUGCGCCGCUCGAAAGGGUGUGCGGGUUCGAGUCCCGCACCCGGCACCA
This 87-nucleotide transfer RNA is filed under the name Actinomycetales bacterium. RNAcentral's name for it is "tRNA-Leu". It matches the Rfam family "tRNA". Rfam says of the family: Transfer RNA (tRNA) molecules are approximately 80 nucleotides in length. Their secondary structure includes four short double-helical elements and three loops (D, anti-codon, and T loops). Lineage: Bacteria; Bacillati; Actinomycetota; Actinomycetes; Actinomycetales. The record is from RNAcentral.